Molecule: ribosomal RNA, 316 nt
Filed under: uncultured Cercozoa
Lineage: Eukaryota; Cercozoa
Also listed under: 1 other name
Description: bacterial SSU rRNA
Rfam family: Eukaryotic small subunit ribosomal RNA (bases 104-316)
Source: RNAcentral
GAUUUCUGGCAAAGUGGGACGUGUCCGGGCCGAAAGGUUUCGUGUAUACGGGUCACUUGCCAUCCUUCCUGAUACUAGGCUAUGCCGGCAACGGUGUAGUUUACAUCUGGAUCUUUUACUUUGAAAAAAUUAGAGUGUUUAAAGCAGGCUAUCGCUAUGAAUACAUUAGCAUGGAAUAAUAAUUUAGGACUUUUGUCCUUUUGUUGGUUUUCCAGGAUGAAAGUAAUGAUUGAUAGGGACAGUUGGGGGUGCUAGUAUUUCGUCAACAGAGGUGAAAUUCUUGGACCGACGAAAGACUAACUUAUGCGAAAGCAUU